Molecule: ribosomal RNA, 301 nt
Filed under: uncultured bacterium
Lineage: Bacteria
Description: partial 16S ribosomal RNA
Rfam family: Bacterial small subunit ribosomal RNA
Source: RNAcentral
UAGCCACGGUAAUACGGAGGGUGCAAGCGUUAAUCGGAAUUACUGGGCGUAAAGCGCACGCAGGCGGUCUGUCAAGUCAGAUGUGAAAUCCCCGGGCUUAAUCUGGGAACUGCAUUUGAAACUGGCAGGCUAGAGUCUUGUAGAGGGGGGUAGAAUUCCAGGUGUAGCGGUGAAAUGCGUAGAGAUGUGGAGGAACACCAGUGGCGAAGGCGACUCUCUGGUCUGUAACUGACGCUGAGGAGCGAAAGCGUGGGGAGCGAACAGGAUUAGAUACCCCGGUAGUCCCUGUCUCUUAUACACU